This 3071-nucleotide non-coding RNA is filed under the name Pan troglodytes (chimpanzee). The record is from RNAcentral. Lineage: Eukaryota; Metazoa; Chordata; Mammalia; Primates; Hominidae.
CCCUUAGCGCAGAAGCCCCGCCCACCUAGACUGAGCCCCACGUUGCUGCCAAGGCUCCACCCACUCCCCCACUCUCCUCCCGCUCGGUCCCCCAAGCCUGGCUGGCUCCACUCACUCUAGCACCCUUCACUGCUGCCUCCUCAGGGAAUGCUUGGCCCCAGCGCCUUAGGAAGGAGCCUGCUAGGGCCUUCAGCACUCAGCGGUUUCUUCUACGCAAUUUCUCAGUUUCAAAUAAAGCCCGUCUGCGGGGCAAUUUCGGCCAUCCAGACGGUGACCGGGGCACCCGCGAUGGCCACCUGAGGGACACAGCAGACAGAUGGGGGCAGAGAGAGAGAGAGAAACAGGCGUCGGGUCCUACAGCCAGCAUCAGCCGCUGUCCCGGGGCCGCCCUGGAGCCCGUGAGGAGCGCUCAUGCACAUGGGGCCGGCAAGGAAGGGGCCCUCAGACCGCGUGGCCCCCGUGGACGGUGCGUGGCAUGGGGGUGGGCAGGGCGCCACAGGCAGGCAGGUGCGGCCCCUCCCCGCCGCCGCAGAGGGCCGGGUCCCACUGCCCGUCUGCCUCCUCCUCCUCCUCAUCGCCGCCGCCCCGCAGUGCCCUGACUGCCGCCGGCCUGGGGCCCCCCCGCCGCUCUGCACACCAUGCCCCACCUCUGCCCAUCCGAGGCCGGGGUCCCGGGCUCAGCCUCCCACAGAGAGCUGCUGGCGGGGUUUUGUGCAGCCGGAUGCCAUCCUGCGGUCGGCGGUGGCGGGCAAUGAGGAGGGGGGCUCGGCCCCGUGGGGCUGCUGCAGGGAGAAACAGCCACGUGGCAAGGCCCCUGCCGAGGCGCCUCCCCGGGCGUCUCUCCCUCUUGGAUGAAAAGUGGCUCGCUGGAAGCCCCCUGUCCCUCCAGGCCCUGCUAACCCUGCCUGCUAUCUGGGGAUGGCUGGACAGAUCCAGCAGCCAUCUUGCUCUGCCACCUCCCAGGCGAGUGGCUCUGGGAGCCACGUCCCCUCUGAGGGCGUCAGUUUGCCCAUCCCUAAUAAAGGGACAUUAACAGGAAGAGGACCCAUUUUCUAGAGGGCACGAGGAAGAAAAAGACGGGUGCCCAGGCAUGUGCAAGGUCACAAAGAAUGGCUGGUGCCAUCGCCGUUGUCACUACCAGCCACAUCCCCACCACCGCCACUGCCACGAUUUCAAUGCUGGUGUCCCCUCUGAAGUCCGUGCUGAGAUCACUACUGCGGCCUUCAAGCGACUGAUCCAUGGGGCCCACUCAUGUGAAUGGGAUGAGGGGCCCUUAUAAAAGGGCCUGAUGGAGGGAGGUCACGGCUUUUCCGCCCCUUGCAACCCCUCUGCCGUGUAGGAAGCAGCACAGGGCCUCUCUGGAGGGUUGCCGACCAGGCAACCUCGUGGGAACAGAGAGCAGCCCUCCCCGACACAGCCCUGCCUUGGCCUUGGACCUCCCAGCCUCCAGAACUGUGAGAGAUUUUCGUUCUUUAUAAAUCCCCAGGCUGUGGGGUUUUGUUCCAGCAGUGCAAAGGGACCGAGAUGAUCGCCAUCACCACCGUCGUCAUCACCAGUGUCGGCACAACUUGUCUGUCCCUGCAGGGCGCAGCCCAGAGCUGAGCAGCAAAGCAUACGUCCCCUUUUGUUCUAAAAGGGCGCCUCGUUGAGCCUGCGUCACCCCAGCCAGAAGUGCCCUUCUGCGGGUGGUAUUCCAGAGCCGCUCCCAUACCCUGCACCCACACGGCCCAGGGCUCCCUUCCCGAGACCCGAAGGACCCAGAGCAACAGGGAGGAGUUGUUACCAUUUGGUUUUUCAGGGCCCCUUCGAACCGAAGCCCUCGCUGACAGGAGCCCCUGCCGUCAAUCACAACCACGGCGUAGCCCAGGGAGGCCAGUGUGUUGAGCCGCAAGUACUUGAUGCCUUUGAAGGAGUUAUUCACCAGCUGCACCUGUGGGGAGGUGAGGGCCAGCAGUCCAGCACGAGAUGCCGGGCAGGACGGGCCUGGCAGGGGAGAUGCCGGUGGGCUGGGGACCGGGCCGGGCUGGGGCCUCAGAGCCUAAUGAAAGCACCUGUGCCCCGGAGGCUCUGGAUGGACACCUGGGAGUGGCAAGGCGGGAGGGGCCCACACUCGGGACCCUGCUAGGGAGGGGGAAGGGCCACUGUCAGGCUCUUUCUCAGCUGGGCCACUGCCCCAGUCCUGCUGGAACAACCGCUCUGGCAUGAUGGACAUUGGGGUGGCUCAUUCUCGGGUGGGGCCAUCUGGGCACUGCGGGGUGCUGAGAAGCCACUCCAGGCCAGGAGAACUCGCAGUGGUGAUGAACCACAAAGUACCCAGACAUCGCCCCGUAUCCUCUGUGGGGACAGAGCUGCUCUGGGUAAGAUGUGCGCCUAAGAUGGUCCACCUGCCAAUCUGCUGCCUGCUUUUGACCCCUGCUCCAGGAAUUGGGCCCAGGGCCCAUGGCCACCUCCAUACCAACCUGCAAACUAGGGGACUUCCUAGAGGAACAAGGGAGAGUCAGCAGGCGGAGGGGGAAGGGGAGGCCAUCCAGGAAGGGCGGGGAGCGUGCAAACGGGCACAGAGAAAGGAGGGUGAGGGGCCCCGAGGACCCUGUGUAGUCAGGGCAGGCGGGGUGGGCUGGGGCACCAGGCAGGUAGCCGGGGAGCCUCCUCUGGUUGACCGUUCUACAGCUGGCACUUGAGUGGGGAUGGGGAGUCCUCGGGUGGAUGGUGGGGUGGGGGCCUGGGGAGCAGGUGUGCACUCACCUGGGGGCCUCCAUACACAAAGAGGACGGUGGGGUGCUUCUUCCCUGGCUGCAAGGCGUGGGGCUUGUAGAUCAUGCCGUAGAGCCGCACAUCCGAGCGCGUGUGGAAAUGGAAGAUCUCUGGAGGCACGUAAUCCGGGGGGCAGCCUGCGGGAGACAGGGCGGCUAUCUGGCUGCCCGGGGAAGCCACAUCCAGCUGACACUCUUGUUCUCCUGCCCACCCCAAGCCUCGGAGGGUGGACCAAAGCACCCCCUCUUUUCCUGGGCUUCCCGAGAGUUGAUAAUUGAAAAAAACAUUUUUUUUUUUAAUUAAAAUAAGAUUUGUAC